CAAGUCGAACGGCAGCACAGGGAGAGCUUGCUCUCUGGGUGGCGAGUGGACGGACGGAGUGAGGCAAUACAUCGNGAAUCUACUUUUUCUGGGGGGAUAACGUAGGGAAACUUACGCUAAUACCGCAUACGACCUACGGGUGAAAGCAGGGGAUCUUCGGACCUUGCGCGAUUGAAUGAGCCGAUGUCGGAUUAGCUAGUUGGCGGGGUAAAGGCCCACCAAGGCGACGAUCCGUAUCUGGUCUGAAAGGAUGAUCAGCCACACUGGAACUGAGACACGGACCAGACUCCUACGGGAGGCAGCAGUGGGGAAUAUUGGACAAUGGGCGCGAACCUGAUCCAGCCAUACCGCGUGGGUGAAAAAGGCCUUCGGGUUGUAAAGCCCUUUUGUUGGGAAAGAGAUCCAGCUGGUUAAUACCCGGUUGGGAUGACGGUACCCAAAAAAUAACCACCGGCUAACUUCUUGCCACCAGCCGCGGUAAUACGAAGGGUGCAAGCGUUACUCGGAAUUACUGGGCAUAAAGCGUGCGUAGGUGGUCGUUUAAGUCCGUUGUGAAAGCCCUGGGCUCAACCUGGGAACUGCAAUGGAUACUGGGCGACUAGAGUGUGGUAUACGGUAGAGGAAUUCCUGGUGUAGCAGUGAAAUGCGUAUAGAUCAGGAGGAACAUCCAUGGCGAAGGCAGCUACCUGGACCAACACUGACACUGAGGCACGAAAGCGUGGGGAGCAAACAGGAUUAGAUACCCUGGUAGUCCACGCCCUAAACGAUGCGAACUGGAUGUUGGGUGCAAUUUGGCACGCAGUAUCGAAGCUAACGCGUUAAGUUCGCCGCCUGGGGAGUACGGUCGCAAGACUGAAACUCAAAGGAAUUGACAGUGGCCCGCACANGCGGUGGAGUAUGUGGUUUAAUUCGAUGCAACACGAAGAACCUUACCUGGCCUUGACAUGUCGAGAACUUUCCAGAGAUGGAUGGUUGCCUUCGGGAACUCGAACACAGGUGCUGCAUGGCUGUCGUCAGCUCCUGUCCUGAAAUGUAGGGUUAAGUCCCGCAACGAGCGCAACCUUGUCCUUANUUGCCAGCACCAAAUGUGGGAACUNUAAGGAAACCCCCGGUGACAACCCGAAGAAGNAGGGAUNACGUAAGUUUUUUUGGCCCUUACCGCCAGG
RNAcentral lists this ribosomal RNA (1166 nucleotides) under Stenotrophomonas maltophilia. RNAcentral's name for it is "bacterial SSU rRNA". It matches the Rfam family "Bacterial small subunit ribosomal RNA", at positions 58 to 1212 of the family's 1533-position model. The record is from RNAcentral. Lineage: Bacteria; Pseudomonadati; Pseudomonadota; Gammaproteobacteria; Lysobacterales; Lysobacteraceae.